Potamilus streckersoni is the source of this 65-nucleotide non-coding RNA. Lineage: Eukaryota; Metazoa; Mollusca; Bivalvia; Unionida; Unionidae. The record is from the annotation of a GenBank genome assembly.
GUGGCCUAGUGGUUAGAGCAUCUGCCUUGGAUGUGGGAGGUUGUGGGUUCAAUCCACUGCAGACA